RNAcentral lists this ribosomal RNA (248 nucleotides) under uncultured Eubacteriales bacterium. RNAcentral's name for it is "uncultured Clostridiales bacterium partial 16S ribosomal RNA". It matches the Rfam family "Bacterial small subunit ribosomal RNA", at positions 524 to 772 of the family's 1533-position model. Lineage: Bacteria; Bacillati; Bacillota; Clostridia; Eubacteriales. The record is from RNAcentral.
UACGUAGGGAGCAAGCGUUAUCCGGAUUUAUUGGGCGUAAAGCGUUCGUAGGCGGUUUGUUAAGUCUAAAAUUAAAGCCUGGGGCUCAACCUCAGUUCGUUUUAGAAACUGGCAGACUUGAGUGUGGUAGAGGCAAGUGGAAUUUCUAGUGUAGCGGUUAAAUGCGUAGAUAUUAGAAGGAACACCAGUGGCGAAGGCGGCUUGCUGGGCCAUUACUGACGCUGAGGAACGAAAGCGUGGGGAGCAAA